CGCGUAGGCGGGAUGGCAAGUCGGUCGUAAAAAUCCUUCGGCUCAACCGAAGAACGUCGGCCGAUACUGCCGUUCUUGAGGGAUGCAGAGGAGAUUGGAAUUCCCGGUGUAGCGGUGAAAUGUGUAGAGAUCGGGAGGAACACCGGUGGCGAAGGCGGGUCUCUGGGCAUCUCCUGACGCUGAGGCGCGAAAGCGUGGGGAAGGCAAACG
This 210-nucleotide ribosomal RNA is filed under the name uncultured bacterium. RNAcentral's name for it is "partial 16S ribosomal RNA". It matches the Rfam family "Bacterial small subunit ribosomal RNA", at positions 568 to 774 of the family's 1533-position model. The record is from RNAcentral.